GAAGCCCAACUAAGAUGUUAUCGGCCAUUCGGCCAUGUUAUCACACCUCCCUCGUUCUCUACAAAACCCUAUUUCGAAAAUUUUCACUAUAUAAAUUGGAGCUCUUAACCUAACCUCAAUCAUCAACCUUCCCGUUUCACAAUCGCUUCCAUCGUCUCUGUUCACAUUUGUUUUUCUAAUGCAAAAGAUGGGGAAAUCCUGUGAUGGCAUGAAAUCUUUGAGACCUGAUAGUCUACUUUUGAUGACAAAUAUAAGCAUUUUACUGAGGAUUCUCCCACUUUGAAAGUUUUGUUUUGUUUUGUUUUUUAAAAUUGUUUCUUUGAGAAAUUGAAAUGAUGAUCGCACUGGGCUCUGAGCAGUUUGAUUAAAGACUGCUAAUUUGAUGCACACUGCAGCCUAGAAAGCUAUGUCUGAUCUCUCAUUGUUUUCUUUUUGGA
Ipomoea nil (Japanese morning glory) is the source of this 437-nucleotide long non-coding RNA. RefSeq lists it as uncharacterized. Lineage: Eukaryota; Viridiplantae; Streptophyta; Magnoliopsida; Solanales; Convolvulaceae. The transcript has 2 exons. The record is from RefSeq and is a predicted model, not a curated record.